CUUAUCACGAGUGAUGGAGGGAUGGGCCCUGUGAAGUCACGGCAACCGGCUGAAUAAGCUUCAGCGGCUGGUGCCAAAUCCCGCAGCGUAAGUUCGGUAUGACGCUGACAGAUAAGG
This 117-nucleotide non-coding RNA is filed under the name bovine gut metagenome. RNAcentral's name for it is "SAM riboswitch (S box leader)". It matches the Rfam family "SAM riboswitch aptamer (S box leader)". From Rfam's summary of the family: The SAM riboswitch is found upstream of a number of genes which code for proteins involved in methionine or cysteine biosynthesis in Gram-positive bacteria. The record is from RNAcentral.